RNAcentral lists this ribosomal RNA (270 nucleotides) under uncultured archaeon. RNAcentral's name for it is "partial 16S ribosomal RNA". It matches the Rfam family "Archaeal small subunit ribosomal RNA", at positions 477 to 747 of the family's 1478-position model. The record is from RNAcentral.
CAGCACCUCAAGUGGUCAGGAUGAUUAUUGGGCCUAAAGCAUCCGUAGCCGGCGCUGUAAGUUUUCGGUUAAAUCUGUACGCUCAACGUACAGGCUGCCGGGAAUACUGCAGCGCUAGGGAGUGGGAGAGGUAGACGGUACUCGGUAGGAAGGGGUAAAAUCCGUUGAUCUAUUGAUGACCACCUGUGGCGAAGGCGGUCUACCAGAACACGUCCGACGGUGAGGGAUGAAAGCUGGGGGAGCAAACCGGAUUAGAGACCCGAGUAGUCC